Molecule: non-coding RNA, 87 nt
Organism: Gossypium hirsutum (cotton)
Lineage: Eukaryota; Viridiplantae; Streptophyta; Magnoliopsida; Malvales; Malvaceae
Source: Rfam
CACGUCAGCGCGCUUUGUUGACAUGGCAACAAAUCGUGCCCUCUAGGACACAAUUUUCUGCCACACCAGCAAAGCGCGCUGACGUGG